RNAcentral lists this ribosomal RNA (497 nucleotides) under uncultured bacterium. Its description in RNAcentral is "partial 16S ribosomal RNA". It matches the Rfam family "Bacterial small subunit ribosomal RNA", at positions 899 to 1397 of the family's 1533-position model. The record is from RNAcentral.
ACUCAAAUGAAUUGACGGGGGCCCGCACAAGCGGCGGAGCAUGUGGAUUAAUUCGAUGCAACGCGAAGAACCUUACCUGGGUUUGACAUGCACAGGACGGUCCUGGAGACAGGGCUUCCCUUGUGGCCUGUGUGCAGGUGGUGCAUGGCUGUCGUCAGCUCGUGUCGUGAGAUGUUGGGUUAAGUCCCGCAACGAGCGCAACCCUUGUUCCAUGUUGCCAGCGGUUCGGCCGGGGACUCAUGGGAGACUGCCGGGGUCAACUCGGAGGAAGGUGGGGAUGACGUCAAGUCAUCAUGCCCCUUAUGUCCAGGGCUUCACACAUGCUACAAUGGCCGAUACAGAGGGCUGCGAGACCGUGAGGUGGAGCGAAUCCCUUAAAGUUGGUCUCAGUUCGGAUCGGGGUCUGCAACUCGACCCCGUGAAGUUGGAGUCGCUAGUAAUCGCAGAUCAGCAGUGCUGCGGUGAAUACGUUCCCGGGCCUUGCACACACCGCCCGU